Molecule: long non-coding RNA, 813 nt
Organism: Macadamia integrifolia
Lineage: Eukaryota; Viridiplantae; Streptophyta; Magnoliopsida; Proteales; Proteaceae
Exons: 3
Source: RefSeq, a predicted model, not a curated record
UAGGAUCAACAGCAGAUCUAUCAAAAGAGGCCAAACAGUCGGCAACGGAAUUUUUCUUUAUAUAUAUGGACAAAAGACGAUCAUCUUCCUAACCGAUCUCCCCUAAGCGUCUCUUCUGGGGUUCCAUGAUAAUCGAUCUACUCUUGCUCCUGUGUCUCAGGUGUGCAGCUCAUCUCUUUGUUCACAAUGGUGGCGGUUUCUAUGAAAGUUCAAAUUUCACCCGAAACUUAAAAAGUCUUUUUCUAGAGAUUGGCUUUUGGAGGAAUCCCUACAAAGGACAUUCCAUUGAUUCUCUUUGUGGUCUCUGUCAGGAUAAGGACGAGUCACAUUUUACAUAUUUUUCUUAUUGUGAAUUUACCAGUAGGAUUUGGGUAGCUUUCCAUUAGGAUUUCACCUUGAAGCUAACCCUCAUGUGAUAUUACGAUUGCUGAAUCAAUGGACUGAUAAUCAAAAGCCCUUUGACAUGGCCAACCAGGAAAUACGAAUGAGGUUUACACGCGGCGAUUGCUCAUGGGUGUGAAACAGACGGAAGAGGAAGGAUGGCUGCAUGGAGCAGUUUGGAUGGAAUUAAACGAUGCCCAGAUUUUGCCAGCUAACUUUAAGGAUUUUUAUGGCCUUUACAUGAUAUUCGAUUUUGCCAGCAGUUUCUAGCUAAACUCACUUUUUGCCUUAAAUCUCCUGCGGAUGGAGUUAUAUGUUUUUGUAAAACAGCUUGCUUUUUGGAUCCUUGCAAGGAGGAUCUGUAUCCCAUCCCCAUUCCCCUUCUUGAUGUACAGCCUAUGAUAUAAUAUUGGUUUCCUUUUGUUUCUUAUA